AGACAGAGCGGCAACUGCCAGCCACUUGCCACCAGGUCCUCCCUUUGACAAGCCCAACUCGCCCAAAGCCCUCCCGGCCCGACGGGGCCCUCCCGUGCUCCCGGCUCAGUGGCAGCGGCGGUUCCCGGUCCGGGUCCGCGGGUGCCUGCCGUGGCCCUCCCCGCACCACGCGCAGCCCUCCAGGCCCCCGGGGCGCGCCGAGGCGCUUCCUUACCUUGGUGAGUCCUCCGCAGCGGGUGUGGCCGGCUCUGCGGGCGGCCCCGGGCCAGGGCCGGGGGGCGGGGGGCGGGGGUGCCGGGCUAGGGGGGAGCGGCAGGGUGAGGGCUGGGGGCGCGGGCACGGUGCCCAGCGGGGGUGAGGGGGCCGUUGGCAGCCCCAGGGCCCUCGGGCGGGCCGGGCCGAGCCGGAGGAGGUGCGCGGCGCGCGGGGCCGGGGAGGGGCGCCGGGGCCCGGGCCGGAGGGCGGAGGGCUCCCUCCUGAGGCGGGCGGGGUGCUCCAGCCUGCGGGGCCGGCCCGGAGCCGGGCUAGGCGCGCGGGAGGGAGGCCCGGCGCCCGGGGAGCCGAGGACUGGGCGCGCGGAUCAGAGGGGCCGUUUUUCUUGCCUCGGCUGACAAAUCAAUCAGGGCCAGCCGGGCGCCGGGAGCGGCCACCCGGGCUGCGGCGCGCGGCUCCCCGCUCGCCCCGCGUUGCCAGCUGCCGGCCGCCUGGAGUGGGCGCGGGCCGCGGCGCGGGCUGGCUGCGGUCAUUAGGCUGCGGGCGCGUGCGGCCGGGGGCGGGGGCGGGGGCGGCGGCGAGCGCCGGGAGGGGGCGGCGCGGCGUCCCCCGCGUCCCCCGCGUCCCCGGCCUCCCCACCCCGCCCGCCGCCGUCCCGCGCCCGCUAGCGCUCGGCGUCCCCCGCCCCCCGCUCCGUGGCUGUCACCGGCCGGUCCCCCCGGCCGUCCCCGCCCGCCUCCCCCUGUCUCUUUCCAUCUCCCGGUCUCCGCGGCGUUUCUCUGCCUCCUUCCUCGCCUCUCCCGGCCUCUCUGGCUGUCCCCGGCUCUCUUCCUCACUGCCUCUCUCUUUUUCUCUUACCCCUCUCUCCUCGGCUGCUCUCACCACUUCCUCCCUCCCUCUCCGGCUUCCUUCUACCUCCCCUCACUCUCCCCCCUUUCUCGCCUUGCUCAGGGGGACUCGCUAUCUCUUUCUCUGUCUCUCCUUGGAACAGCGGCCCCCAAAAUGCAACUGAAGCCAUUUCCCUGCUCUGAGACCUCGGACAAGUCACUCCCCGCCAGGGCUGCAGUUUCCUGUCUCUAAAAGGAGUUGAUGAGCAGCUCUAGGUGGGGUGGCGAUGGGGGACGCAGGAGGUGCCCCGUGCCUGUGGUCCCCUGUUGAAGUUCACGCCUCCUCAAAUGCAGCGGCCACCCAGCGCUCGCUGGGUGCCAUGUGUGCCCCACAAAACACCUUUCCUCAGCCUCGAGGACAAGUACCAGAGGCCAGUUCCGCGGGAAAAGUUAAUGGUGGUUUCCUCCAGGGUCCCUAAAGCCCCUCCUGAAAAGUGACUGUGGUUCCCCUCCCCCUGUCCUCAGGUUUUGAGUGGGCACAACCUAAGCUGGAUCUGAUAGGCCCUGUCACCUGCUGGUUCCUCCCUGGUUGACACCAAGCAGAGGGGCAAUGCUCUCUCGCUGUCCUUAGACCCAAGCAGGAGAAAAAUCUACCCUCCCUCCUUCCCUCCCCAUUCCCCAUCACACCAUGAUUGGCUUUUAAGCUUCAGGGAUGUUUCCCGGACCGAGUGUGGCUUCAGAGUCAGAGAGAUGUGAGUUCAAGACCACUUGCUUAGGAGGAAGCAAAAGAGGAGGAGAAGGCAGAGGAAGGCGACGACUGAGAACAAAAGAAGAGCAGUGGCAAAGGA
RNAcentral lists this long non-coding RNA (1888 nucleotides) under Homo sapiens (human). Its description in RNAcentral is "HSALNT0354788". Lineage: Eukaryota; Metazoa; Chordata; Mammalia; Primates; Hominidae. The record is from RNAcentral.